GCUCCCUUAGGUUAGCGGCGGACGGGUGAGUAACACGUGGGUAACCUGCCUGUAAGACUGGGAUAACUCCGGGAAACCGGGGCUAAUACCGGAUGCUUGAUUGAACCGCAUGGUUCAAUUAUAAAAGGUGGCUUUUAGCUACCACUUACAGAUGGACCCGCGGCGCAUUAGCUAGUUGGUGAGGUAACGGCUCACCAAGGCGACGAUGCGUAGCCGACCUGAGAGGGUGAUCGGCCACACUGGGACUGAGACACGGCCCAGACUCCUACGGGAGGCAGCAGUAGGGAAUCUUCCGCAAUGGACGAAAGUCUGACGGAGCAACGCCGCGUGAGUGAUGAAGGUUUUCGGAUCGUAAAACUCUGUUGUUAGGGAAGAACAAGUACCGUUCGAACAGGGCGGUGCCUUGACGGUACCUAACCAGAAAGCCACGGCUAACUACGUGCCAGCAGCCGCGGUAAUACGUAGGUGGCAAGCGUUGUCCGGAAUUAUUGGGCGUAAAGCGCGCGCAGGCGGUUUCUUAAGUCUGAUGUGAAAGCCCCCGGCUCAACCGGGGAGGGUCAUUGGAAACUGGGGAACUUGAGUGCAGAAGAGGAGAGUGGAAUUCCACGUGUAGCGGUGAAAUGCGUAGAGAUGUGGAGGAACA
Molecule: ribosomal RNA, 643 nt
Filed under: Bacillus sonorensis
Lineage: Bacteria; Bacillati; Bacillota; Bacilli; Caryophanales; Bacillaceae
Description: bacterial SSU rRNA
Rfam family: Bacterial small subunit ribosomal RNA
Source: RNAcentral